UACGAGGGGGGCAAGCGUUGUUCGGAAUUAUUGGGCGUAAAGGGCGCGUAGGCGGUGCGGUAAGUCACCUGUGAAAACUCUGGGCUCAACUCAGAGCCUGCAGGCGAAACUGGAGAGCUUGGGUUCUGGAGGGGAAAGCGGAAUUCCCAGUGUAGCGGUGAAAUGCGUAGAUAUUGGGAAGAACACCUGAGGCGAAGGCGGGUUGCUGGGCUGAUACUGACGCUGAGGCGCGAAAGCCAGGGGAGCAAACGGG
RNAcentral lists this ribosomal RNA (253 nucleotides) under uncultured bacterium. RNAcentral's name for it is "partial 16S ribosomal RNA". It matches the Rfam family "Bacterial small subunit ribosomal RNA", at positions 524 to 776 of the family's 1533-position model. The record is from RNAcentral.